This is a long non-coding RNA of Trichoplusia ni (cabbage looper), 769 nucleotides long. RefSeq lists it as uncharacterized. The transcript has 3 exons. NCBI's taxonomy places the organism in Eukaryota, Metazoa, Arthropoda, Insecta, Lepidoptera, Noctuidae. The record is from RefSeq and is a predicted model, not a curated record.
AUCUAUGGAGGUAAAGUCUGGAGUUCUGUGAUUGUUUGGGAUAGGGGGAAGGGUGGUUACCUGCACCCUCUGACCUCCUACGCCUCCCCCCGGUAGCUUUAAGUGGGACGUCGCAGCCUGCAUCCAGUGCUCCGCUCGCCCUCAGCCGUGCUUGACGUUCCCGCCAGCCAUCUGCAGUGCUCGCAGCCAAAGCCCUCCAGUAGUGGAGACCACCAUGGCGUAUUUUAAAAAACUUCCACCUAUACGAGCGCCGUCGGCAGAGCGCUGCGGGAGCGCCAGGCUCUGCAGCGCGCUGCAGCAGGUGACCGCGGUACUCAACAAGACGUCACGAGAACAGCAGGCGUCAGGCUCGCGCACCCUCAUGUGGAGCGCGCAGCUCCCGGUCAAGCUGUUGGCCCGGAUGAGGCUGGAAGCGGUGUAGAGCGGAGCCCGGGACAGGGGCGGACCCGAACACAAGGGUCAAAGGUCACAUGACCUUUUGUCCUUUUCUUCGGAGCCGCUCCUGUACUGUCCUAGAUUUAAGAUAGCAUUUAAGUGAUGUAGUAAGUCAAGGUAUUUUUGUAUUUUUGUAAUAAAAAAGCAGUAAAGAUAUUUAUUUAAUAAGUCUAGGUAUAGGAAAAGACAUGUAAUCCUCUAGGUAAUUGACGUUCCAAAUUAAUAUUAAGAUUGUUAAGGACUACGAUAGACAGUACACACAACACCAUUUAAUAUGAGACAUUAUUGGUUAAAUAUAUAUCCUUCGUAUUUUUUGUUUGUAGAGUAGAGGAAA